GGACGAUUAGCUCAGCUGGUUAGAGCGUGCGGUUCACAUCCGCAAGGUCACUGGUUCGAACCCAGUAUCGUCCACCA
RNAcentral lists this transfer RNA (77 nucleotides) under Candidatus Peribacter sp. Its description in RNAcentral is "tRNA-Val". It matches the Rfam family "tRNA". From Rfam's summary of the family: Transfer RNA (tRNA) molecules are approximately 80 nucleotides in length. Their secondary structure includes four short double-helical elements and three loops (D, anti-codon, and T loops). Lineage: Bacteria; Candidatus Peregrinibacteriota; Candidatus Peribacteria; Candidatus Peribacterales. The record is from RNAcentral.